UGCAUUCACUACUGUAAGUCGCUCUGGAUAAGAGCAUCUGCGAAAUGACAAAAA
This is a non-coding RNA of Salmo salar (Atlantic salmon), 54 nucleotides long. The record is from Rfam. NCBI's taxonomy places the organism in Eukaryota, Metazoa, Chordata, Actinopteri, Salmoniformes, Salmonidae.